CUCACAAUCCCCUUUAAUCCUAGCCCUUCUUUUCUCUCUUUAAAUCUCCACCAUUGAAUUCAAAAUAGCUUCUAGAAGGUUGUGGUCCUCUUUUGUCUUCUAGAAGGUUGUGGUCCAACUUUGACCAAGACCAAGUUUGAAUUUGAGUCUCCUUCCUUUGUCUCCAACGGCUCCAUGAGAGACUUUGUGCUUCUUAGGUCUUCUAGAAGGUCUCUCAUGGGCUUCUCUUAUGUGACACCAAUCUUGCACAUUAUUAUCUUCACUAGGUGACACGAGUUUUGCACAUUCUUGUAUUCAUGGAUAGACUUCAU
Molecule: long non-coding RNA, 311 nt
Filed under: Arabidopsis lyrata
Lineage: Eukaryota; Viridiplantae; Streptophyta; Magnoliopsida; Brassicales; Brassicaceae
Description: long non-coding RNA (ALYR_LNC000224)
Source: RNAcentral